GCACAAGCGGUGGGGCAUGUGGUUUAAUUCGAAGCAACGCGAAGAACCUUACCAGGUCUUGACAUCCCGAUGCUAUUUCUAGAGAUAGAAAGUUACUUCGGUACAUCGGUGACAGGUGGUGCAUGGUUGUCGUCAGCUCGUGUCGUGAGAUGUUGGGUUAAGUCCCGCAACGAGCGCAACCCCUAUUGUUAGUUGCCAUCAUUCAGUUGGGCACUCUAGCGAGACUGCCGGUAAUAAACCGGAGGAAGGUGGGGAUGACGUCAAAUCAUCAUGCCCCUUAUGACCUGGGCUACACACGUGCUACAAUGGUUGGUACAACGAGUUGCGAGUCGGUGACGGCGAGCUAAUCUCUUAAAGCCAAUCUCAGUUCGGAUUGUAGGCUGCAACUCGCCUACAUGAAGUCGGAAUCGCUAGUAAUCGCGGAUCAGCACGCCGCGGUGAAUACGUUCCCGGGCCUU
Molecule: ribosomal RNA, 458 nt
Filed under: uncultured Streptococcus sp.
Lineage: Bacteria; Bacillati; Bacillota; Bacilli; Lactobacillales; Streptococcaceae
Description: bacterial SSU rRNA
Rfam family: Bacterial small subunit ribosomal RNA
Source: RNAcentral